This 253-nucleotide ribosomal RNA is filed under the name uncultured bacterium. RNAcentral's name for it is "partial 16S ribosomal RNA". It matches the Rfam family "Bacterial small subunit ribosomal RNA", at positions 524 to 776 of the family's 1533-position model. The record is from RNAcentral.
UACGGGGGGGGCAAGCGUUGUUCGGAAUGAUUGGGCGUAAAGCGUCCGCAGGUGGCUGUGUAAGUCUGCUGUUAAAUAGUGAGGCUCAACCUCAUAAAGGCAGUGGAAACUACACGGCUAGAGUGCGUUCGGGGCAGAGGGAAUUCCUGGUGUAGCGGUGAAAUGCGUAGAGAUCAGGAAGAACACCGGUGGCGAAAGCGCUCUGCUAGGCCGCAACUGACACUGAGGGACGAAAGCUAGGGGAGCGAAUGGG